RNAcentral lists this ribosomal RNA (549 nucleotides) under Planiliza subviridis (greenback mullet). RNAcentral describes it as "partial 16S ribosomal RNA". It matches the Rfam family "Bacterial large subunit ribosomal RNA", at positions 1852 to 2598 of the family's 2925-position model. Lineage: Eukaryota; Metazoa; Chordata; Actinopteri; Mugiliformes; Mugilidae. The record is from RNAcentral.
GUCCUGCCUGCCCUGUGACCCCUGGUUCAACGGCCGCGGUAUUUUGACCGUGCAAAGGUAGCGCAAUCACUUGUCUCUUAAAUGAGGACCUGUAUGAAUGGCAAAACGAGGGCUUAACUGUCUCCUUUCCCCGGUCAGUGAAAUUGAUCUUCCCGUGCAGAAGCGGGAAUCCUAACAUAAGACGAGAAGACCCUAUGGAGCUUUAGACGCUAGAGCAGAUCAUGUAAGCUACCUCCAUGAAAUAGGUAAUAACUAUUGAAUUUCUGUUCCCCUGUCUUCGGUUGGGGCGACCACGGGGAAUAAAAAAACCCCCAUGUGGACCAGGAGCACAUUACUCCUACAACCAUGAGCCACAGCUCUAAUGCACAAAACAUUUGACCAUUAGAUCCGGCAAAGCCGAUCAACGGACCAAGUUACCCUAGGGAUAACAGCGCAAUCCCCUUUAAGAGUCCAUAUCGACAAGGGGGUUUACGACCUCGAUGUUGGAUCAAGACAUCCUAAUGGUGCAGCCGCUAUUAAGGGUUCGUUUGUUCAACGAUUAAAGUCUUA